RNAcentral lists this long non-coding RNA (1998 nucleotides) under Canis lupus familiaris (dog). Its description in RNAcentral is "lncRNA (ENSCAFG00030006576.1)". Lineage: Eukaryota; Metazoa; Chordata; Mammalia; Carnivora; Canidae. The record is from RNAcentral.
AUGUCCUCAUCAGGAUCAAGAACUGAUGUUUCAUAUACUAAUCCCUUCAUGCCUCUCAUGCCACCGUACAUCGUAGAGGAGGCACUGGCAUGCCAAGCGGCAAGAACAAGACAAGAUGCAUUCUUGGCUCCAAAGACCCGGGCGGCUGCAGUGAGUAGAGCCAUGACUGGAGAACUCAGGCUUCAGGCAAGAAAGGCAGGAUGGGGAGAGUCGUGGCAGGAGGAAGCCAACGCCGCUGCACCGAGGGCCGUGCAGAGGGGCGGACAAGGUUGAAAGUCUGUGUGGAUUUCUUUGGGUUCAUUUUAUUUGGUAUUGUUUGGGCUUCCUGAAUCUGGUUGUCUAUUUCCUUCUCAAACUUGGGGAGUUUUCAGUGAUUAUUUAAUAGAAUAAUUUUUUUAUCCAUUUUUUCACUCUCUCUUCUAAUUCUGGGCCUUCCAUAAUAUGCAUAUUGGCUCCUUGAUGGUAAACUAUAACCCCUUUAAAUUUUCUGCAUUCUUUUUCAUUCCUUUUGCUGUCUGAUUGGAUACUUUCAGAUGAACUUUGAAUUUGUUGUUCUUUUUCUGUGCUACUCUGCUAUUGAACCUCUUUACCAAAUUUUCAGUUCUGUUACUUUAUUCUUUAGCUUCAUGAUUUCUAUUUGGUACUUUUUAUUUUUUUAAAAAAAUCCCUUUGUUAAAAUUUUCACUUUUCUCAUGUAUUGUUUUUCUGAGCUUGUUAAGCAAUUUUGUGAUGGUUAUUUUGAAUUUUUUGUCAAGUAUUUCAUAUCUCCAUUUCACUAUGACCAUUUUCUGGAGUUUUAUCUAAUUCCUUUGUUUGAAUUGUGUUUCCCAGUUACUUCAUUUUCGUUGACUCUAUAUGAGUAUCUACACAUUAGAAAAACCUGCCACUUCUCCUAGUCUUCAUCAUGCACUGGCUAUGUGCAGGACCUUCACAAAUCAACCAGGCCAGAGCUUGUGUGGGCUUCUCAAAUAUUAGUCCAACAUGCCAUCUUAGUUCUUUUUUUUAAGAUUUUAUUUAUUUAUUCAUGAGAGAGAGAGAGAGAGAGAGAGAGAGAAGCAGAGACACAGGCAGAGGGAGAAACAGGCUCCAUGCAGAGAGCCCGACAUGGGACUUGAUCCCGGGUCUCCAGGAUCAUGCCCUGGGCUGAAUGUGGCACUAAACUGCUGAGCCACCCAGGCUGCCCUGCUAUUUUAGUUCUUAAUGGCCUCCAGACUUCUAGAUUGUACCUCUGAUGGAUUCUGUGAGUGUUCUACAUUGGGCUAUAGCAGGAGGCUUCGAAGGGUUCUUGUAUUUUAGUGUAAAAUACCUUCUUUGUUCUCAGUGGAUCCCAAGUAUCUAUUCUGGAUCCUGUUAACGUUCUAAGACAGAAGCCAUCAUUGGGCAGCCCCCAGAAACUUGAAUAUUCAAUAUGUGGUCCAAUUCUUUUUCUUCCCAGAGAGAAUCUGGGAACUAUUUUUUUUUCUUUCCCCAUCUGCUUGCUCUGUACUAAACCAGGACUCCUCUUGUGCCAAGUGUCUGUUCCCUAGUUCAAACUGCCAUCUUUGUUCUCUAUAGCCCACAAGAAUCUAGCAUAUACAGGGUCCCAUCGGAGUUCUCAAAGAGGGAAGAUAAAAACCAGUCCCUUGAGAAUCAUCUAGAAAAGCUGAGAUAUUGGAUAUACAAUCUAAUUCUUUCUCUUCUCAGGGAGAAGCUGGAAACUGAGGGUUUCCUCCUGAUUAUGUGGCAUUAUGCUGGGUGUAGGGAUUAUGGAGAGAAAGUGUCUUAAUUUUCCUACCAGUUUUGAUGUGGAUGGUUUCCCAUUUCUCUUGGAUGCAGGAGGCUCUCAACUAGUUUCUGUAUUUCUAAAAGGGAAUUGAUUUAUGUACUGCUAUUGAAUUGAUAUGUCCAUGAAGGAAAGAAGAGUCCAGAGCUUCCUAUUCUGCCAUCUUUUUGAAAUCAUUGUCAAUGUACCUCAGUUUCAUUGGUCUUGAUGUAUACGAAUCACUAGAGAAGAUUUAU